CCUGGGGCUGGGAGGAAAGUUAUUUGCAGAGGAGAACAAGAUCAGGACUCUUCCUAACAAAGGCUGAGUAAGAAACUGGGUUUCUGACCUCUCUACCCCAGCAAGCUCAGAGUCCCCUGCCUUUCCUCUGUUCUGGCUCUGUGUGUUUGCAUUACUCACUCUGUGGUUAGAAGUUCAGGCCCACAGACAGAAGGGAUUAGCCUUAUCUCAGAUGAGAUUUUGGACUUGGACUUUUGAAUUAAUCCUUCAAUGACCAUAGUUUAAGAAGAGAUAUCUUGAAAACACGGAAAGAGAAAAGUCAAUACAAUAUUUCCUAAUUUUUUAAGAGGUCAGAGAAGGGAGUUACUGUGUGGCCUGGAGCAGGUGAUUCUGACUACCAAGGGAAAAUUGGAGUACUACUCCACAAUGGAGGGUCUGCAGGAUGGACCCGGCAGCUGGUGCCCUGUGUGAGGAACGCUGCAACGGACUGCGACAGAACCCUCGAAAACGAAGGUGAAGAGACUGUGCAGUCAUGUGACAGACACAUCAAACCAUACCAUGGCGUGGCUAAGACCCAAGCUGGUAUCAAAAAUAAAGGAAACGACGCUGCAGGACCCGCAGCCCCAGACGAUGUGGCUUCCUCCGAUGACACAGGCCCCAGACAUUACCUGGGGGAAGCUGAAGAAGACAACUCAGGAGGCCGAGUGAAUCCUUCUCUGGACACAGACACCAUCACUCCAGAUAAUCUGUUCCUUGCUAUGCUCUCUAUUGUACCUUGCAACUCUCAUAGGGUAUUCACCUUUCUUAUUCUCUCACUUUGCCUGCAACUCAUACCUGCUACAUUCUAUUGGGCCCAUCUUCUAAGAUCUGCCUUUCUUCCAACCUGUUACCUUGGCAGACACCCCCUUCCCAUCCUCUAAUAAUGUAACUGCUUAGCUGGGAGGGGUUGACAUGCCCCCAGUGGGGUUCCUUAAUAAUGGCACACAUUGAACUGAGGUGCCAAGUAACACUACAUAUCUCUCCUUGAUUGGAAAAGAAUAAUAGUGACUAUACUAAUGUUUGACUUAUGUUAUUUACUAAUUCUAGGAUGCAAAGCCGGAACACGAGCUGUAACCGCUGCGCCUGUCAAAUCUGUCACUGCACACAUCUGUACUAUUCAAUCAACAAAACCCGAUGCUAAAAACAGAAAAGGGGGAGACGCGGGAGAUCGGUCAGAGUGGUAGGAGAAGGUAUAGGGAAAGGAACAGACCUUCUGAAAGGCGGGAAGGCUCUGGAUAGCUUCAGGGAUGAAUAAGCUGAAGGCAGCUGUUCUCUUACCCUGAGGCAGAGGGCAAGGGGUAGGUAAGGAAGUAUAGGGGAAUUUGGCAUAAACAGGCUUGUUUACUUACAUUGUCCGGAAACCGACUUUGAUCAUCAGGGCAGGAGACUGCUCCCUGAAAGGGGGAAUAAUAAUGUUAAUUACCCACAGAUUGUGUUGGCUCCAGGCUUUCAUUAUUUUGUCUGUACUGAAUAAAAGCAAGCAGCUCC
RNAcentral lists this long non-coding RNA (1506 nucleotides) under Homo sapiens (human). RNAcentral's name for it is "novel transcript". The record is from RNAcentral. Lineage: Eukaryota; Metazoa; Chordata; Mammalia; Primates; Hominidae.